GUGAAUAUACCCAUCUCUUUAUAAUUAUUUGUCAUAUUACCAUUAUUCUAUUCAUAAAGGAAUUGACGGAAGGGCACCACUAGUAGUGAAGACCGCUGUUUAAUUCGACACAACACAGGAAAACUCACUAGACCCGGACACUGUGAGGAUUGACAGAUUGAUAGCUCAUUCUUGAUUCGGUAGGUGGUGGUGCAUGGCCGUUCCUAGUUUGUGGAGCGAUUUGUCGGGUUAAUUCCUAUAACGAACGAGACUUUAACCUGAUAAAUAGUAGACUGGUCCUCUGUCCUCGCUUAGAGCGCGGCUUCUAUUGCUUCUUUAUGGGGUAGUGUGUUCGCCGCACAAUUAAGUCGCAAGAAAUCGAGCAAUAACAGGUCUGUGAUGCUCUUAGACGUCCGGGGCCACAUAUGCGCUACAAUGACGGUGCCAAUGAGUCUGGAAACCUGGCCCGAAGAUGUUGGCCAAACUGUUUCAUCACCAUCGUGACUGGGCUCAUGGCCCGCAAUUAUUCCCCGUGAACGAGGAAUUCCUGGUCAGUGCAAGUCAUAAGCUUGCACUGAUUACGUCCCUGUCCUUUGUACACAACGCCCGUCGUUUCUACCGAUUAGAUGGUUCAGUGAGAUCAUUGGAUUGGUGUCGUUGUAGUAGCUUUGCCGCUCGACUGAUACUGGGAAGAUGACCUAGUUUGACUAUUUAAAGGAAGUAAAAGUCGUAAUAAGGUUUCCGUAGGUGAACCUGCGGAGU
This is a non-coding RNA of Schistosoma margrebowiei, 741 nucleotides long. Lineage: Eukaryota; Metazoa; Platyhelminthes; Trematoda; Strigeidida; Schistosomatidae. The record is from Rfam.